CGCGGCUCCUCGCGCGACGUCAUCCAGGCCAACUCCCCCAGGGCAGAAAUGCAGCAAGGGUAACCGGGCUCUGGCGGGUGCGCGAGGGGUCCUUUUU
RNAcentral lists this signal recognition particle RNA (97 nucleotides) under Pseudoclavibacter sp. RNAcentral's name for it is "signal recognition particle sRNA small type". It matches the Rfam family "Bacterial small signal recognition particle RNA". Rfam says of the family: The signal recognition particle (SRP) is a universally conserved ribonucleoprotein involved in the co-translational targeting of proteins to membranes. Archaeal SRP consists of a 7S RNA and homologues of the eukaryotic SRP19 and SRP54 proteins. In most bacteria, the SRP consists of a 4.5S RNA and the Ffh protein (a homologue of the eukaryotic SRP54 protein). The record is from RNAcentral. Lineage: Bacteria; Bacillati; Actinomycetota; Actinomycetes; Micrococcales; Microbacteriaceae.